AACGAACGCUGGCGGCAUGCCUAACACAUGCCAGUCGAACGAGACCUUCGGGUCUAGUGGCGCACGGGUGCGUAACGCGUGGGAACCUGCCCUUAGGUUCGGAAUAACUCCCCGAAAGGGGUGCUAAUACCGGAUAAUGUCUUCGGACCAAAGAUUUAUCGCCUUUGGAUGGGCCCGCGUUGGAUUAGCUAGUUGGUAGGGUAAAAGCCUACCAAGGCGACGAUCCAUAGCUGGUCUGAGAGGAUGAUCAGCCACACUGGGACUGAGACACGGCCCAGACUCCUACGGGAGGCAGCAGUGGGGAAUAUUGGACAAAGGGCGAAAGCCUGAUCCAGCAAUGCCGCGUGAGUGAUGAAGGCCUUAGGGUUGUAAAGCUCUUUUACCCGGGAUGAUAAUGACAGUACCGGGAGAAUAAGCUCCGGCUAACUCCGUG
RNAcentral lists this ribosomal RNA (433 nucleotides) under uncultured bacterium. Its description in RNAcentral is "partial 16S ribosomal RNA". It matches the Rfam family "Bacterial small subunit ribosomal RNA", at positions 29 to 507 of the family's 1533-position model. The record is from RNAcentral.